RNAcentral lists this ribosomal RNA (253 nucleotides) under uncultured bacterium. Its description in RNAcentral is "partial 16S ribosomal RNA". It matches the Rfam family "Bacterial small subunit ribosomal RNA", at positions 524 to 776 of the family's 1533-position model. The record is from RNAcentral.
UACGAAGGGUGCAAGCGUUACUCGGAAUUACUGGGCGUAAAGCGUGCGCAGGCGGUUAUGCAAGACAGAUGUGAAAUCCCCGGGCUCAACCUGGGAACUGCAUUUGUGACUGCAUGGCUAGAGUACGGUAGAGGGGGAUGGAAUUCCGCGUGUAGCAGUGAAAUGCGUAGAUAUGCGGAGGAACACCGAUGGCGAAGGCAAUCCCCUGGACCUGUACUGACGCUCAUGCACGAAAGCGUGGGGAGCAAACAGG